Molecule: small nuclear RNA, 107 nt
Filed under: Tursiops truncatus (common bottlenose dolphin)
Lineage: Eukaryota; Metazoa; Chordata; Mammalia; Artiodactyla; Delphinidae
Source: RNAcentral
GUGCUCACUUCAGCAGCACAUACACUAAAAUUGGAAUGAUACAGAGAAGAUUAGCAUGGCCCCUGCACAAGGAUGACAUGCAAAUUCGUGAAUCAUUCCAUAUUUUU